Molecule: ribosomal RNA, 253 nt
Filed under: uncultured bacterium
Lineage: Bacteria
Description: partial 16S ribosomal RNA
Rfam family: Bacterial small subunit ribosomal RNA
Source: RNAcentral
UACGCAGGGUGCGAGCGUUGUCCGGAAUUACUGGGCGUAAAGAGCUCGUAGGUGGUUUGUCGCGUUGUUCGUGAAAACUCACAACUCAAUUGUGGGCGUGCGGGCGAUACGGGCAGACUGGAGUACUGCAGGGGAGACUGGAAUUCCUGGUGUAGCGGUGGAAUACGCAGAUAUCAGGAGGAACACCGGUGGCGAAGGCGGGUCUCUGGGCAGUAACUGACGCUGAGGAGCGAAAGCGUGGGGAGCGAACAGG